UACGUAGGGGGCGAGCGUUGUCCGAAGUUACUGGGCGUAAAGAGCGCGUAGGCGGUCUUUUAAGUCUGGUGUGAAAGGUUCAGGGCUCAACCCGAACAGUGCACUGGAUACUGGGAGACUUGAGUGCGGGAGAGGAGAGUGGAAUUCCUGGUGUAGCGGUGAAAUGCGUAGAUAUCAGGAGGAACACCCGUGGCGAAGGCGGCUCUCUGGCCUGCAACUGACGCUGAGGCGCGAAAGCGUGGGGAGCGAACGGG
This 254-nucleotide ribosomal RNA is filed under the name uncultured bacterium. Its description in RNAcentral is "partial 16S ribosomal RNA". It matches the Rfam family "Bacterial small subunit ribosomal RNA", at positions 524 to 776 of the family's 1533-position model. The record is from RNAcentral.